This is a long non-coding RNA of Felis catus (domestic cat), 5623 nucleotides long. RefSeq lists it as uncharacterized. The record is from RefSeq and is a predicted model, not a curated record. The transcript is spliced from 2 exons. NCBI's taxonomy places the organism in Eukaryota, Metazoa, Chordata, Mammalia, Carnivora, Felidae.
AGAAGGGCGGGAGGGUACACGUCCUCGGGUGAUGAUUUCCUCGCCCGACGUGAAGUUUCAACUGGGAAACUCCAGGUGACCACACCUCACCUGCUCCCGACAGUUCGCCCGCGGGCAGUUGCUGCAACCAAUGAGAACAAUGCUGGUGGUGAAUGGCCUCCACCGAGUGCCUCGGACGAAGGCACCGAAAUGGACCCAGGGCAAUCCGCGGUCCAUCUGGGCACGCGGUAAUGUGAGCCUCUGCCAAGUCGGGAGCCCUUCUCUGGGGUUACAAAGAUAAAGGCCGCCGGCCCUCGAGGAACCCGCAGAAGCAAGGAAGAGAGCACCAUGAAAUGCAAGCUAUUUAACUUAUGCUCUGUAUGGUUUGGGGGGAGUUGUUUUAGCCCCUAGUAACAGUUUCUUGGUCUACGGUGUAGUAAUAAUGAUACUGAUGCUGGAAGUCGGUUAAUAAGGUUUUGCAUAAUGUAGGCAAAGUACCUGACACCAUGAGUGGCCCUAGUAGUCACCCAACAAAUGGCUUAUUUAAUGCACUUUUCGUUUGUGCAAGAAAAAGCCUGAUUUCUAAUUUCAGGGAGAGACUCAUCUAUGAACUGCUUGGUGUUUUAUAGAACUACCCUACCCCCACCCGGUCCUGGCUCUUUGCCCCACAGAAACAUACAGAGGCCAAUCCAAAGGUUAAGUGCUCCUGCAGUCCUCUCUUCUCCUACCUCAUUAAUUUUCUCCCUUUAUUGGAUCAUCUCCAUCUACAUAAAAUCAUGCUACUUCUCCCAUCUUAAAAACAAAAAAAAACCUCUUGAAUCCCCUUCCCCCACCAGCCACUUGCCCCUCUUCUGCUCUGCUAUAGCAAAAUGCCUGUAAAGAAUUUUCACAAGGGGCACCUGGGCGGUUCAAUGGCUCACACAUCUGACCUCCACUCAGGUCUCAUGGUUCAUGAGUUCAAGCCCCACAUCAGGCUUUGCGCUGAUAGCCUGCUAGGGAUUCUUUCUCCCUCUCUCUGCCCCUACCCUGCUUGCACGCUCUCAAAAUAAACAAAUAAACUUUAAAAACAAAACAAAGAAUUGUUAACAAAAGCCGUCUCCAUGUGCUGUCCUCCCAUUUACUCCAGUCAGGCUUUUGCUUUGACCACGUCCCUCAAAUUCUUCUUACCGAGAUCAAACUCUCAAAUCAAAAGGUGUUUCAGUCUUUACCUCACUUGGACAGUCAGCAGCAAUUAACAGUUGAUCACUUUCUCCUCCUGGAAACGGUUUUGACUUCCACACCACCAUGUUUUCAUGGCUUUAUUCCUAACCUUUGCCUGUCCCUUCUUUUCCCCCAGCCGCUGAGCUGUGGAGUGCCCAGGGUUUGGACUUUGGAUCUCUUGUCUAUCCACACUCUCUCCCAUGGUGAUCUCAUCCUGUUUCAUGGCACUAAAUACCACCUAUGUGGUAACGACUCCCAAAUCUCACCUCCAGCCGGGCGUUCUCCCCUGAACUGCAGGCUUCAGGCAGCUGCUCACUUGGAUGCCUAUAGGGCUUCUCCCACUGAACAUUUCCAACGCUGACAUCCUGAGAGUCCUCCCUCUGUCCCCCACCCAACCUGUCCAAACUCAAGUCUCACUCCUAUCAGGCCUAAAACCUUGGUAUCAUCUUUGAUUUUCUAUUUCUCUUGCAUUUCCAAUCCAAUCCGUCAGGAAAUCCUUUUAGCUCUACUUCAAAAGAAGUCCGAGAAUUCAACUGCUUAGCACCACCACUGUUCUUACCACCCAGGUCUAACCUACCAUCAUGUCUUCACUUUGAUUGCCCUAACCCUGUUUCUACUUUUGCCCCCCCUCUCUGGGCUCUUCUCAACACAGCAGCCAGAGCAAUCCCUUUCAACAGGAAGCUCAUAGCCCUCUUCUGCUCAAAACCCUGCGAUGAACCCCAUCUCAAUCAGAACAAAAGCGAAAGUCCAUACAAUAGCCCGGAAGGACGAUACGUGAUCUGCCUUUCUCUAGGCUCAGCUCCCACUUCUCUCACUUCACUUACUUAGCUGCUGCCACAGUGGCCUCCUCGGUAUUCCUGGACUAGAUCCCUGGACAGGUAUGCUUCCAUCUCAGGGCUUUUAUGCUAGCUGGCCUCUCUGUCUGGACUUGUCCUCUCCCCAGCUGUUUUGCUCCCUCACUUCCUUCAAGACCCUGAUCAAUUGUCACCAUGUCCCUCAGGCCUACCCUCAGUCUUUAAAAUUAAAAAUGCAUUCUUCAUAUAGUAAGCUUUCUUUAGUGUUUUAUUGACAGAACGUUUACCUUCUAUAAUAUUAUAAAAUGUCCUUUAAAAGUUGUAUUUGUUGUCUAACUCUCCUCACUAGAACAGGAGUUCUGGGCAGGCAGGGAUUUUUGUCUGUUCUCUCCAGUGAUAGAUUCCCGAUGCCCCUAGAAUGAUGGCUGGCAUUUAGUGUGCAUGGUAGCUUUGGGCCAGAGCACAUGGUUGCAAAUAUUUCCUUGCCCAGAAUGAUGCCAGUUGACCAGAUAGACAUUUUCGAGAUGGUUGUGCUCCCCCAAAGGGUCUGAGGAGUAUGUUUACCAACACAUACAUGGGAGGGGCUCAAAGAAUAUUUAUUCACUGUGACUUUUUUUUUCUAAUAUUUUAUUUUAUUAUUUUAAAAUUUUUAUCCUAUUUUUAUUUUUUUAUAUUAAAUAUAAUUUACUGUCAAAUUGGUUUCCGUACAACACCCAGGGCUCAUCCCAACAGGUGACUUUUUAAAGUGACUAAAGCCAGUGGUACGUCUCACUCCAGCUUGCGUUCGUGUGGUUUUCAAUAGCUUUCAUUAUUCCACGGGCUCCUGAGAUGAAGCGGUCCCCCGAAAGGUGCAAAGCUUAAACUAAAUGUGAAAUGCAGACCCCAAGCAUCUUAAAAUGUGGAGAAGACACUCAAUGUAAUACCAGCUAUUAUGUGAUAAUUCUUAUUAUCAGAAUGUCUGUGUUGGUGGACAUACUCUACCAUAAUUAAUGACCACAAUUAAGUUGACAGCAUUCAUAUCUGAGAGAAGGUAGCUAACAUUCAUUCAGAGCAACGGUUAUUGUCUAUACCAAGCACUCUUCCAAAUAUAUUAGAGUAUUAAUGAGUUGAAUCCUAUAACAACCCUCCAAGGUAAGUGCUAUUACUCCCAUUUUAAAACCGAAAAAAAAAAAAUGAGGCACAGAAGAGUUAAUGGUCACUCAGUUAAUAAGCUGGUAGAAUCAGAAUUUUAACACGGGCCAGAUGGUUCUAGACUAUGCUCUUAAAUACUCUGCUCUACCUCUUUAAGUAGGAAUGAUGUAUCAGGGGAAAUUUCUGUAUAAAGAUUAAUUUGUAAAUCACAAAGCAAAAAACUUGAUCCUCAUUGGCCCCCUCUCACUGCCUUGUUUUAUUUGUUGCCAUCUCUCUUUUACUGUAGCCAACCUCCUUCAAGGCUAGAGGGAUCAUUUGAUUCAUAUUUGUGUCAAGGAUACUCUAAGACACAUACAUGGGAGGGGCUCAAAGAGUAUUUAUUCACGGUGACUUUUUUUUUCUAACAUUUUAUUUUAUUAUUUUAAAAUUUUUAUCCUAUUUUUAUUUUUUUAUAUUAAAUAUAAUUUACUGUCAAAUUGGUUUCCGUACAACACCCAGGGCUCAUCCCAACAGGUGACUUUUUAAAGUGACUAAAGCCAGUGGUACGUCUCACUCCUGCUUGCGUUCGUGUGGUUUUCAAUAGCUUUCAUUAUUCCACGGGUGCCUGAGAUGAAGCGGUCCCCCGAAAGGUGCAAAGCUUAAACUAAAUGUGAAAUGCAGACCCCAAGCAUCUUAAAAUGUGGAGAAGACACUCAAAAUGUAACACCAGCUAUUAUGUAAUAAUUCUUAUUAUCAGAAUUUCUUUUAAUUAUGAUAUUUUUAAAAAUAGAAAAAAAAUGAGCUCUUUUCUUCUACUUUUUCCAUUUCCUGGGUUCUUUACAAUGAAGUCCCCUAAGUAAUCCCAGACCAGAGCCACACCUCACUCUAUCUGCCCUUCUCUAUUGUCCAGUAGGAUUUGGUGUUGUAAACAACACAGCUGAACUUCCUUCCCUGUCCCCUUCUCUAGGAUCUGGAGUGGUUGCAAUACCUGAUUUUACUUUGCUGUUUCCUCCCCUGAAGUAGGAAAUGGAGAAAUGUUGCACAAAGUGAUAUUGUAAAUUCCUUAUGAGUUAUUGCAUUUGGAAUUAAUUUUGCUAUUGUGCCCUCUCAUCAGCAAACACCAGUUGGACCUGAUUAACUCAUGUCCUGAACCUGAACAUCUCUUCCUCUCUCUGCAGUGAUAGCCUAACACAUCUUUGUAGCUAGUAACUUGGGCCAUUCUCAACCCCAGUCCAACUUGUGGAACAGCUACUUGUACUGAUGUUCUCUUUAAUAUUAAUCCUAUAUAAAGAAUCAAGGGUUUUUUUUUUUUUUUUUUUUACGUUUAUUUUUACUUUUGAGAGAGCGAGAGAGACAGAGCAUGGGUGGGGGAGAGGCAGAGAGAGAAGGAGAUAGAAUCCAAAGCAAGCUCCAGGCUCUGAACUGUCAACACAGAGCACUUACACAGGACUCCAACCCCUAAGCUGCAAGAUCAUGACCUGAGCCGAAGUCAGAAGCUUAAACUACUGAGCCACCUAGGUGCCCCAAGCCUAUAUAAAGAAUCAAGAAUUUUUUAUUUGCAGAGUGCAAUGGAAAGAUCACUGGUCAUGGAGUCAGACAGCCCUUGGUUUAAACCCUGACUCAGCCCCAUUUGAAUGUGUUACUUACUUUCAUUAAGAAACAAGCUUCUUUUCUGAAAAAUGAGACUGAUAAUACCUGACUCGUAUUUUAAUGAAUGAAUGUGAUAAGGCACCAUGCUUUCCACAGGAGAUAGGUAGCACCCAGGGAACACACGAAAGUGUAGUUUUUUUUUUUUCCUUUUUUUUAAAAAUAAAAAUGGUAUAUAUUUAAGGCAACAUGAUGAUUUCAUGGACAUACAAAUAGUAAAAGGUUUACUAAGUCUAACAUAUCUUCUCACAUAGUUACCUUAUUUGUGUGGGUGGUAAGGACACCUGAAAUCUACCCUCUUAUCAAUUUUCCAAUAUUCAAUACAAUAUUAUUAACUAUAGUCAUCAUGUUGUACAUUAGAUCUCUAGACUUAUUUAUACUUUUAACUUCAACUCUAUACUCUUUGACCAGCAUGUCCCCACUUUCCCCACCCAUUUUCCCCAUCUCUCUGCCCCCAGUUAUCACCUUUCUGCUCUCUGCUUCUAUGUAAUCGACCCUUAGAUUCCACAUAUAAGUGAGAUCAUGCAGUUCUUUUCUUUCCAUGUCUGGCAUAUUUAAAGUCCUCACUGAAAGAGUCGUUUCCAACCACACUUGUCUUCUCUUGUGGAACUGUUGUCAAUGACAUCAACCAUUUUGUUUGGAUUAUCCUAUGUUGAGUUCCACAUCAUAAACUCAUUUUAGAAUUUAGUACUAAAAUAAAGUUUCUCUUUCUUAAAAAAUCGAUGUUCCUUCAUUUCUUAGAAAAGGUAUUUUGUCUACUUUCACAGUGGAUUUGCCAUUGUUGUUAAGGAGAACUGUGUAAACCCAUGUUUCCCUUUGUAUCCUGGUUGCCAGGAAGCUCAAAGUCAUUAAAUGAUUGUACUAUGGAAAUAAAGAUUUUGCUUCCUACCAUU